UACGGAGGGGGCGAGCGUUAUUCGGAAUUACUGGGCGUAAAGGGCGCGCAGGCGGCCUUAGAAGUCAGAUGUGAAAGCCCCGGGCUCAACCUGGGAGGUGCGCUUGAUACUCGAGGGCUUGAGUGCGGGAGAGGAGAGUGGAAUUCCCAGUGUAGAGGUGAAAUUCGUAGAUAUUGGGAAGAACACCGGUGGCGAAGGCAGCCCCCUGGGAUAACACUGACGCUCAUGCACGAAAGCGUGGGAGCAAACAGG
RNAcentral lists this ribosomal RNA (252 nucleotides) under uncultured bacterium. RNAcentral describes it as "partial 16S ribosomal RNA". It matches the Rfam family "Bacterial small subunit ribosomal RNA", at positions 524 to 776 of the family's 1533-position model. The record is from RNAcentral.